AUUACCUUUGUGCAAGGGACAAAGUCCUGCCAUUGACCUCUGUUUUCUCUCCAUGCGAAUAUGUGUCGUUGAGGAAGGUCAGUCUUCUGAUCUCUACCUCCAGAUAUACUGCAUCCUUAGCAUCACCUUGAAAAAGAAGGAAGAAAUAUGUUCUGUGCACAAGGGAAAUGUUGCAAGCAUUCCAAAGUUCAAUAAUCUCUUUCUGUAGCAUCUUGAACUCCGAGGGCCAGCUGCGAAGACUUUUCAGAUCAUCUUCUAUUGGGUCCAACCCGACAUCUUUGACACGCUUUGAUGGUCUAUCAUGCUCUAGUUCAGCCUCCUUAACCAGUAACAUACAAACACAUAUUAGUCAUAAAUUAAGGAAAUGUAAGUUUUCUUGAUUCUAUUUAAACAGUGGACAUAAACCCAAGGAAUGUAAUCCGACUGUCGAUUACAGGUUUUAUCUAUAUUUUUUCAGGUCACACAAACUUUUCAUUCCAUGAACGAACAUCAACCAUGAAAGAAGGGUGUUCUUCUAAAAAUCUCAGGACUAGAAGAAUCACCCAUCCAAAAAAUGAAGCAUAUAAAUUUCAUCAUCAUGAACAGAUAAGAGAUUGGAGAUAUAUGGGAAGAUGAUUAAGAAGACAGGUAGAGAGAAGAAAAGAUAAUACUCAC
RNAcentral lists this long non-coding RNA (654 nucleotides) under Solanum tuberosum (potato). RNAcentral's name for it is "long non-coding RNA (STUB_LNC003143)". Lineage: Eukaryota; Viridiplantae; Streptophyta; Magnoliopsida; Solanales; Solanaceae. The record is from RNAcentral.